Molecule: long non-coding RNA, 655 nt
Filed under: Equus asinus (donkey)
Lineage: Eukaryota; Metazoa; Chordata; Mammalia; Perissodactyla; Equidae
Description: lncRNA (ENSEASG00005036574.1)
Source: RNAcentral
AGGCACAUACACGGUUCUUUACUGACACAUCCCUCUCUCUGUUUCAUCUUAACUGCAGGUAUCUUAAGCCAACCUAGCUUCAUCGGAAGAGCCACAACUUCAGUCUUUUUUAUUUGGGCUCUUUUGUCUAAAUGAAAGACUAACUCAGUGCCGUCUUAACUCAUUCAGAAGUUUAACAAUGCUGAUGGGCUGACUAGGAAAAUGGAUCACUCUCAAGUAGUGCUGGGAAGAUGAGCUGGUUAAUUGUCUAAAAGAACGAUGUUGGAGAGAGAAUGUCUACACGAUAUUGGUGUAGGAUAGAAGCUAAACAACCUAUAAACCAAAGCCCCCUGCUACCCUGACCCUCACUACCGAAUAUUCAUCCUUUUCAGAGUCUGGAUGUAUAAAACUGAGAUAAGCGAUGUUUUAAGAGAGCGAGCAUCAGUAAUAGAAACAUACCUCUGUGCUUCCCUGUGAAGAAUUAUCCAGGCCUGGCUGUGAAACCAGUGUAUCAGGCUGCCAGGGAGCAGAUAGAGUCGGGAUUGGGGCCUCUGAAGAGCUGAGAGAGGGUCAUGAACUCUGUUAAAAUAAGCAGGCAUUUCCCCACCUUUGGGCAGCUCACAAGCCUAUCUUACCCUGUGAAGCACAAGAGAGUGGGUCAGGGAUAUAAUUGAGC